CCCCCCCCCGUUGGACCUGCUGACUGCUCCGGACUGGGAUUCAGAACACCGAGAGAGAGAGAGGUUACACCUUGUGGCUGCAGCAGCUGCCUCAGCACCGGAGGGACUGACAACAGCAAACCCCCAGGAGAGACUUUUCUGAAUUUGUCAUCUUUCUCAGAGCAGUGGAAGAGUGGUGUCAUCCGGUAUUGCUCAUUGUGUGUGCUGGGGGGUGCUGUGCUUGUCAAAUAAACAGGUUCUUUCCA
Serinus canaria (Common canary) is the source of this 245-nucleotide long non-coding RNA. RefSeq lists it as uncharacterized. The transcript is spliced from 2 exons. The record is from RefSeq and is a predicted model, not a curated record. Lineage: Eukaryota; Metazoa; Chordata; Aves; Passeriformes; Fringillidae.